CUUAAUUUAAAAAAAAAAAUUCUUAUACCUAUCCUUUCACUUCCUCUAGUCCCUCUCUAUUGUAGCUUAUGAUACUCUGAGCAUUGCCUAAGACUUGUAUUGUGAGCACUUCUUGUAUCUAUUUCUCUCGUCAUGACGACUCGCUUGUUGUAUUCCUCACUUGUAAGUCGCUUUGGAAAAAAGCGUCUGCCAAAUGAGUAAAUUUUCACUGUACAUUUGGUUUGGAGCUGUGCACAUACAGCAAUGAAGAGAAGAAUGACAUCUCAGCCUGUGAGAGGGACCAAACAACAUUGAUCAUCAAAUGAAUCCCCCCAUCCUCCCCACCACCACCAGGUCGGUCCCUGUCCAUACAUCAGGGGUAGUCUCCACCCCUGCCUUCAUCUUCAGGCAGGAACUGCAAGUAUCUGCUACCCUUUGGAUUUGGACUAUGGACAGGGCCUACGCCAAAGAACUUCAUCAUUUCAUCUUUGUUACUAAUUUGCAUACUAUCUGUUAAAUAAAUCUUAUUCAAACGUUCUCUUGCCUCCUGAGUCUGGUUGUUGUCACUUUUUGUUCAUCAAAAUCACGGGGUAGGCUACAUUUCAGUGCAUUUAUACAGUAUUUUGUUUUUAUUGCAAAAGUGCACUGAUUAAGUUGUUUCAAGGCAAGUAAUACUACAACUAUUGCAAUUUUUUUGUACUGGGGAAAUAUACUCUUGUUCCAUGUAGUUACAGGGUAAGUACAAUAAAAAAUUUUUUUUUUUUAAAAAAAACACACAAUCUGAUAUCACUGACUCCUAGAAAAAAUAAUGAUAAUAUUUGAAAAACAACUUAAUCCAAAACAGGUCUACAAAACAUUUUUUUUUUUUUUUUUUUUUAAACUUUUCAUUUCAGAUUCUAAAGUCCUGACAGAAAGUAACACGCUUUGUCCCUUUUUGUUGUUGUUUCUCUUGCGUGGCUUCUUCCUCCUCUUGUUCCUCUUCUUCUUUUUCAAUCUUUCCACUGAUGAAUUAUAAGAAGGAAUCCCAUGACUUUUGCUAUUUUGUAUUCUGUAUUAAAAGAAAACACAGUACACCCAGAAAUGUUCUCAUGGUUUACUCAUCUUUUCGCUUCCGACCAACUGUCACCAGCGUGUGUAUGAGAGUCGACUUCACGUUUGAUAAAUCAUAUUGUAAUGAGCAA
Long non-coding RNA from Ctenopharyngodon idella (grass carp), 1160 nucleotides. RefSeq lists it as uncharacterized. The record is from RefSeq and is a predicted model, not a curated record. The transcript is spliced from 3 exons. Lineage: Eukaryota; Metazoa; Chordata; Actinopteri; Cypriniformes; Xenocyprididae.